CUACGGGUCGCAGCAGUGGGGAAUAUUGCACAAUGGGCGCAAGCCUGAUGCAGCCAUGCCGCGUGUAUGAAGAAGGCCUUCGGGUUGUAAAGUACUUUCAGCGGGGAGGAAGGGAGUAAAGUUAAUACCUUUGCUCAUUGACGUUACCCGCAGAAGAAGCACCGGCUAACUCCGUGCCAGCAGCCGCGGUAAUACGGAGGGUGCAAGCGUUAAUCGGAAUUACUGGGCGUAAAGCGCACGCAGGCGGUUUGUUAAGUCAGAUGUGAAAUCCCCGGGCUCAACCUGGAACUGCAUCUGAUACUGGCAAGCUUGAGUCUCGUAGAGGGGGGUAGAAUUCCAGGUGUAGCGGUGAAAUGCGUAGAGAUCUGGAGGAAUACCGGUGGCGAAGGCGGCCCCCUGGACGAAGACUGACGCUCAGGUGCGAAAGCGUGGGGAGUAAACAGGAUUAGAUACCCGUGUAGUC
Molecule: ribosomal RNA, 463 nt
Filed under: uncultured bacterium
Lineage: Bacteria
Description: partial 16S ribosomal RNA
Rfam family: Bacterial small subunit ribosomal RNA
Source: RNAcentral